AUGUAACGGGGCUAAACCAUGCACCGAAGCUGCGGCAGCGACACUAUGUGUUGUUGGGUAGGGGAGCGUUCUGUAAGCCUGCGAAGGUGACCUGUGAGGGUUGCUGGAGGUAUCAGAAGUGCGAAUGCUGACAUAAGUAACGAUAAAGCGGGUGAAAAGCCCGCUCGCCGGAAGACCAAGGGUUCCUGUCCAACGUUAAUCGGGGCAGGGUGAGUCGACCCCUAAGGCGAGGCCGAAAGGCGUAGUCGAUGGGAAACAGGUUAAUAUUCCUGUACUUGGUGUUACUGCGAAGGGGGGACGGAGAAGGCUAUGUUAGCCGGGCGACGGUUGUCCCGGUUUAAGCAUGUAGGCUGGUUAUCCAGGCAAAUCCGGAUAAUCAAGGCUGAGGUGUGAUGACGAGGCACUACGGUGCUGAAGUAACAAAUGCCCUGCUUCCAGGAAAAGCCUCUAAGCAUCAGGUAACAUCAAAUCGUACCCCAAACCGACACAGGUGGUCAGGUAGAGAAUACCAAGGCGCUUGAGAGAACUCGGGUGAAGGAACUAGGCAAAAUGGUGCCGUAACUUCGGGAGAAGGCACGCUGGUGUGUAGGUGAAG
Molecule: ribosomal RNA, 595 nt
Filed under: Klebsiella pneumoniae subsp. pneumoniae
Lineage: Bacteria; Pseudomonadati; Pseudomonadota; Gammaproteobacteria; Enterobacterales; Enterobacteriaceae
Description: bacterial LSU rRNA
Rfam family: Bacterial large subunit ribosomal RNA
Source: RNAcentral